UACGGAGGGUGCAAGCGUUGUCCGGAAUUAUUGGGCGUAAAGAGCUUGUAGGCGGUUUGUCGCGUCUGCCGUGAAAGCCCAGGGCUUAACCCUGGGUCUGCGGUGGGUACGGGCAGACUAGAGUGUGGUAGGGGAGACUGGAAUUCCUGGUGUAGCGGUGAAAUGCGCAGAUAUCAGGAGGAACACCGAUGGCGAAGGCAGGUCUCUGGGCCACUACUGACGCUGAGAAGCGAAAGCAUGGGGAGCAAACAGG
This 253-nucleotide ribosomal RNA is filed under the name uncultured bacterium. Its description in RNAcentral is "partial 16S ribosomal RNA". It matches the Rfam family "Bacterial small subunit ribosomal RNA", at positions 524 to 776 of the family's 1533-position model. The record is from RNAcentral.